GACGAACGCUGGCGGCGUGCCUAAUACAUGCAAGUAGAACGCACAGUUUAUACCGUAGCUUGCUACACCAUAGACUGUGAGUUGCGAACGGGUGAGUAACGCGUAGGUAACCUGCCUUGUAUCUGGGGAUAACUAUUUUAAACGAUAGCUAAUACCGCAUAAUAUUAAUUAUUGCAUGAUAAUUAAUUGAAAGUUUCAAUUUCACCACUACCAGAUGGACCUGCGUUGUAUUAUCUAGUAGGUGAGGUAACGGCUCACCUAUGCGACGAUACAUAGCCGAACUGAGAGGGUGAACGGCCAAACUGGGAAGGAGACAAGGCACAGAAGCCUACGGGAGGCAGCAGUAGGGAAUCUUCGGAAAUGGACGAAAGUCUGAACGAGAAACGACGCGUGAGUGAAGAAGGGUUUCGGAUCGUAAAGCUCUGUUGUAAGAGAAGAAAGGGAGUGAGAGUGGAAAGUUCACACUGUGACGGUAUCUAACCAGAAAGGGACGGCUAACUACGUG
Molecule: ribosomal RNA, 505 nt
Filed under: uncultured bacterium
Lineage: Bacteria
Description: partial 16S ribosomal RNA
Rfam family: Bacterial small subunit ribosomal RNA
Source: RNAcentral